Molecule: ribosomal RNA, 468 nt
Filed under: uncultured bacterium
Lineage: Bacteria
Description: partial 16S ribosomal RNA
Rfam family: Bacterial small subunit ribosomal RNA
Source: RNAcentral
GACGAACGCUGGCGGCGUGCUUAACACAUGCAAGUCGAACGGAAAGGCCCUGCUUUUGUGGGGUGCUCGAGUGGCGAACGGGUGAGUAACACGUGAGUAACCUGCCCUUGACUUUGGGAUAACUUCAGGAAACUGGGGCUAAUACCGGAUAGGAGCUCCUGCUGCAUGGUGGGGGUUGGAAAGUUUCGGCGGUUGGGGAUGGACUCGCGGCUUAUCAGCUUGUUGGUGGGGUAGUGGCUUACCAAGGCUUUGACGGGUAGCCGGCCUGAGAGGGUGACCGGCCACAGUGGGACUGGGAUACGGCCCAUACUCCUACGGGGGGCAGCAGUGGGGAAUAGUGCACAAUGGGCGGAAGCCGGAUGCAGCAACGCCGCGUGCGGGAUGACGGCCUUCGGGUUAUAAACCGCGUUCGCCUGUGACGAAGCGUGAGUGACGGUAAUGGGUAAAGAAGCACCGGCUAACUACGUG